This 465-nucleotide ribosomal RNA is filed under the name Vreelandella stevensii. RNAcentral's name for it is "partial 16S ribosomal RNA". It matches the Rfam family "Bacterial small subunit ribosomal RNA", at positions 338 to 795 of the family's 1533-position model. The record is from RNAcentral. Lineage: Bacteria; Pseudomonadati; Pseudomonadota; Gammaproteobacteria; Oceanospirillales; Halomonadaceae.
CCUACGGGGGGCAGCAGUGGGGAAUAUUGGACAAUGGGGGCAACCCUGAUCCAGCCAUGCCGCGUGUGUGAAGAAGGCCCUCGGGUUGUAAAGCACUUUCAGUGAGGAAGAACGCCUGGUGGUUAAUACCCAUCAGGAAAGACAUCACUCACAGAAGAAGCACCGGCUAACUCCGUGCCAGCAGCCGCGGUAAUACGGAGGGUGCGAGCGUUAAUCGGAAUUACUGGGCGUAAAGCGCGCGUAGGUGGCUUGAUAAGCCGGUUGUGAAAGCCCCGGGCUCAACCUGGGAACGGCAUCCGGAACUGUCAAGCUAGAGUGCAGGAGAGGAAGGUAGAAUUCCCGGUGUAGCGGUGAAAUGCGUAGAGAUCGGGAGGAAUACCAGUGGCGAAGGCGGCCUUCUGGACUGACACUGACACUGAGGUGCGAAAGCGUGGGUAGCAAACAGGAUUAGAUACCCUGGUGGUC